AUUGAACGCUGGCGGCAGGCCUAACACAUGCAAGUCGAGCGGAUGAAGGGAGCUUGCUCCUGGAUUCAGCGGCGGACGGGUGAGUAAUGCCUAGGAAUCUGCCUGGUAGUGGGGGAUAACGUCCGGAAACGGGCGCUAAUACCGCAUACGUCCUGAGGGAGAAAGUGGGGGAUCUUCGGACCUCACGCUAUCAGAUGAGCCUAGGUCGGAUUAGCUAGUUGGUGGGGUAAAGGCCUACCAAGGCGACGAUCCGUAACUGGUCUGAGAGGAUGAUCAGUCACACUGGAACUGAGACACGGUCCAGACUCCUACGGGAGGCAGCAGUGGGGAAUAUUGGACAGUGGGCGAAAGCCUGAUCCAGCCAUGCCGCGUGUGUGAAGAAGGUCUUCGGAUUGUAAAGCACUUUAAGUUGGGAGGAAGGGCAGUAAGUUAAUACCUUGCUGUUGACGUUACCAACAGAAUAAGCACCGGCUAACUUCGUG
This 482-nucleotide ribosomal RNA is filed under the name uncultured bacterium. RNAcentral's name for it is "partial 16S ribosomal RNA". It matches the Rfam family "Bacterial small subunit ribosomal RNA", at positions 30 to 507 of the family's 1533-position model. The record is from RNAcentral.